RNAcentral lists this ribosomal RNA (449 nucleotides) under uncultured bacterium. Its description in RNAcentral is "partial 16S ribosomal RNA". It matches the Rfam family "Bacterial small subunit ribosomal RNA", at positions 28 to 523 of the family's 1533-position model. The record is from RNAcentral.
GAUGAACGCUGGCGGCGUGGAUAAGGCAUGCAAGUCGAGCGGGCCCUUCGGGGUCAGCGGCAGACGGGUGAGUAACGCGUGGGAACGUGCCCUUCGGUUCGGAAUAACUCAGGGAAACUUGAGCUAAUACCGGAUACGCCCUUUUGGGGAAAGGCUUGCUGCCGAAGGAUCGGCCCGCGUCUGAUUAGCUGGUUGGUGAGGUUACGGCUCACCAAGGCGACGAUCAGUAGCUGGUCUGAGAGGAUGAUCAGCCACACUGGGACUGAGACACGGCCCAGACUCCUACGGGAGGCAGCAGUGGGGAAUAUUGGACAAUGGGGGCAACCCUGAUCCAGCCAUGCCGCGUGAGUGAUGACGGCCUUAGGGUUGUAAAGCUCUUUUCUCCGGGACGAUAAUGACGGUACCGGAGGAAUAAGCCCCGGCUAACUUCGUGCCAGCCGCCGCCGUAA